GUGCUCGCUUCAGCAGCACAUAUACUAAAAUUAGAACAAUACAGAGAUUAGCAUGACCCCUAUGCAAGAAUAACACACAAAUUGUCAUUUGUGAAGUGUUCCCUAUUUUU
Molecule: small nuclear RNA, 110 nt
Organism: Hyaena hyaena (striped hyena)
Lineage: Eukaryota; Metazoa; Chordata; Mammalia; Carnivora; Hyaenidae
Source: RefSeq, a predicted model, not a curated record